GGAGAGUAGCCAAAAUGUCUUCCAGUUGCUUCCUGGGAAGGUGGUGCUGGGGUAGUGUAGCCUCUCUGAUUUCUCUGGUCUCCAACUGCACCCCCGAUGAAGUGGGGACCAAAAGCAGGGUUGGAUUUUACAGAAGCUUGGUUCAGUUCCUAAAAGAGAACUCGGGUCAGGUUGCUGGGUCACUCUCUUGAGGAUAGGCCAGCUGCAUGAGCUUGGGAGUCUUAACAACAAAAUUCUGAAGAAAGGUCUAAGGAGCGUUGGUCCAAACACAAUUCCUAAGCUUUGUGUUGACAUAAGAUUCACGGAUUCCUUGGCUGCUAUCCUGUUGACGAAAGGAAAGAAUUGGUUAAAAAAGAAGGAUGUCAGAGGAGUCACUGUUGCUCUUGAAGCACAUCAACUCCCCAAAACUCUGCUUUCAUUUGAAAAGAUUAACCAAGGGUCUCGGAGCAGCAAGUUCAGCAAAAGUUUGCCUUUUCUGUAACACCAUACUGCUGUUGUCCCCAGGGACCACCGGGAUCAGGAAAUAGUGCCAGCUGUCAGGAUUUCUGUCUCUGAUAAGAUGAGAUGACCCACCUUAUUACACAGGGACCAGCAGUAGACCCUUCUGCGAGAUGAACUCGGAUGUUUAUUAAAACUCCAGGCUAAACUGAGGGUCAAAUCAUACAGGAGACAGAUGCUCAUCAAUUCCUGCUGGAUGCAAGUCUUUAUUCGGUAUCAAGGGGUGGAGGGAUUUUACCUAACUUGUUCUGUCGUGUUAACGAUCCUGCCCAACGCGUGAUCAAACAGUAAUCAUUGCCACCGUUCUAAUCCAGAUGUAAAAAUCAUCUGAGCAUCGCUUACAGGGGCUCAGCAAUGCUGCCCUGCCUUGCACACAGCCAUCCACAUGGAUAUUUAUAUCACACCAGGACUGAGGCAUUUAAAGUUUUAUCCAAGUUGCACAUGCUGCUAAUAAAGACUAAAAUACAGAAACUUU
Pseudopipra pipra is the source of this 973-nucleotide long non-coding RNA. RefSeq lists it as uncharacterized. The record is from RefSeq and is a predicted model, not a curated record. The transcript is spliced from 5 exons. Lineage: Eukaryota; Metazoa; Chordata; Aves; Passeriformes; Pipridae.